AAAAAUGAAGAUAUUCUUAACUUCCUUGCUGUGGGAACAUGAUUAAGUUACACUAAUCCUGACUUCCAGAAGAAAUGUAAUGACAUUUACAUUGUAAAUAUGAAGAGUAUCUGGGAAAAGCAUCUGCUGGCAGGUUGGGCCAUUGCUGAAAAUGGAAUCAAGCUGAAAUCAGUGUCAUAUCCUCUUAAAACAUUGGCUAGAAUCUUGUACUGAAGUUGGUACUUGCACUUCACUUCUAGAACAUUAACCAACCAAAUCCAGGCAAAGAAGGUUCUUAGCUUAGUCUUCCUACCACUGUUUUAAGUAACACAGAUCUAUAUAUUAUUUGGAAGUUGCCAUACUGCACAAUAAGGAAGCUCACUCGGUGGGUCAAAUAUGGUUGAUGCUGGCCUAGGAAGUCUUCCCUAUCUACGGCAUAAUUUUCUGUGAACAUGUAUAGAAGGAAUGCCUGAUCUCUACUUAUAUAGAGAUCAUAUCUGUACUUAGAUAGAGGUCUACAAGAGAUUGAAAAGGAAGAACAGAUUCCUGCUGUUAAGGCUGUGUUCUGGAGUGGUUUUAGGAUGAAUGCACCACUCUAAAUGCUAUAUUUUCUACUGUUCAACCAAUAUUGCAUAUUGGUAUAAAGGUGUGCAGAUAUCCUAUAUGCUUUUUUGGUAAUUUGCUACUGAAGACUGGAGUGCUCAG
RNAcentral lists this long non-coding RNA (684 nucleotides) under Homo sapiens (human). RNAcentral's name for it is "non-protein coding lnc-GRIK2-3:1". The record is from RNAcentral. Lineage: Eukaryota; Metazoa; Chordata; Mammalia; Primates; Hominidae.